RNAcentral lists this long non-coding RNA (1112 nucleotides) under Anser brachyrhynchus (Pink-footed goose). RNAcentral describes it as "lncRNA (ENSABRG00000011457.1)". The record is from RNAcentral. Lineage: Eukaryota; Metazoa; Chordata; Aves; Anseriformes; Anatidae.
UUUUGCCACAAAUAAUGCAAACUGCCAGUCACGUUAGGUUUUCUGUGCAUCUUCUUGGACUAAUGUGAAAGUCGUGUCAGCGUAAGAAGCCAAGACGUAACAGAAAUGCUUUUGCAGUUAAAGUUGCUGACUAAAUUAAGUGGGCUGCUAUUUUGGGGGUAGAUAGUUCUUUUGAUAGGCAUGACAGGGCAGAGAUCCCUUAACACCGUAUUGCAAAGCAUCGCUCUCCUUACAAAAGGAUGUUGAAGGUGUAGGUCCCACUGAGCUGGGUGACUCUUGCUUUGCAAUCUGGGAGUAAAAAUAAGUUUUAUCUCAUAUUUAUCUCAUAUCCUUGUGGAAGCUUGUCUAUCCCAAGGUGCAGUGCAAUCUCAUGAGGAUACAGUUCUGCAUAUACUUCUCAAAUGCAGUUCCUGUGUUACCAGACUCCAGCACAAACCCUCUCUUCCUGCUUGCUCCUCAUCCCCUUAGUGGAUUUCCCUUUUUCCCAUUGAAGCUUGCUCUUUCAUAAGCUUUCAAGCUAUGCUGGAGAAGUUUGCCCGAAAGGAUAGAUCAUUCUUAAACACACCUCUCUACUUAAGAGGAUCUUUGCAUAAAUACAACACAGGAAUUGCCAUCUGUUCAUGACUUUCACUUGCAUCAUGAACCAGGAAUAUUAUUUCAGCCAAAUGGUUACAUCUUUGCUGCUUAUGUUCUAGGAUGAGCUGCAAAGAUGGAGUGGCAAACAGAUGCAGCAGUCUGCAUGUGGAGCCCAUCUGAUUUUUUGGGGGACUAUUACAUUUAAUCCCAGGACUAAGCUCUCUGAAGGUUGGUGUUACAAUGCCAGGCUCAUGUUGUGCAUUGCUCCUGCAGCAUGGAAGCGGUUGGAGCUGUGCAAGACGCAGAAAAGCCCAGUCCUCCCGAGGGAUGUAUGCAAAGAGGAAUGUAUAUUGUAGUCAGUGUGAGGGGUUCAAGUAAGGGGACAGCAGCUGCCUAGCCUGCUGGGUUUUUCCCUAAAACCUAUUUUCCAAAUUUAGGUCCUUUGUGAGAUCCCAGUGCUUCAGCUCUGAGCUCUGAAAUGUUUGCCUCAGCACAAGUAAGAAGUACCAGGAAUGCUGCCUUUUUUUCAAUUUUCU